Molecule: ribosomal RNA, 251 nt
Filed under: uncultured bacterium
Lineage: Bacteria
Description: partial 16S ribosomal RNA
Rfam family: Bacterial small subunit ribosomal RNA
Source: RNAcentral
UACGUAGGCAGCAAGCGUUGUUCGGAAUUACUGGGCGUAAAGAGUGUGUAGGCGGUGCUCUAAGUUCGGUGUGAAAUCUCCCGGCUUAACUGGGAGGUGCGCCGGAAACUGGAGUGCUUGAGCGCGGGAGAGGAAAGCGGAAUCCUGGUGUAGCGGUGAAAUGCGUAGAUAUCUGGAGGAACACCGGUGGCGAAGGCGGGUCUCUGGGCCGUAACUGACGCUGAGGAGCGAAAGCAUGGGGAGCGAACAGG